GACGAACGCUGGCGGCGUGCCUAAUACAUGCAAGUCGAACGCUUCUUUCCUCCCGAGUGCUUGCCCUCAAUUGGAAAGAGGAGUGGCGGACGGGUGAGUAACACGUGGGUAACCUACCCAUCAGAGGGGGAUAACACUUGGAAACAGGUGCUAAUACCGCAUAACAGUUUAUGCCGCAUGGCAUAAGAGUGAAAGGCGCUUUCGGGUGUCGCUGAUGGAUGGACCCGCGGUGCAUUAGCUAGUUGGUGAGGUAACGGCUCACCAAGGCCACGAUGCAUAGCCGACCUGAGAGGGUGAUCGGCCACACUGGGACUGAGACACGGCCCAGACUCCUACGGGAGGCAGCAGUAGGGAAUCUUCGGCAAAGGACGAAAGUCUGACCGAGCAACGCCGCGUGAGUGAAGAAGGUGUUCGGAUCGUAAAACUCUGUUGUUAGAGAAGAACAAGGACGUUAGUAACUGAACGUCCCCUGACGGUAUCUAACCAGAAAGCCACGGCUAACUACGUG
This 508-nucleotide ribosomal RNA is filed under the name uncultured bacterium. Its description in RNAcentral is "partial 16S ribosomal RNA". It matches the Rfam family "Bacterial small subunit ribosomal RNA", at positions 28 to 507 of the family's 1533-position model. The record is from RNAcentral.